UGAACGCUGGCGGCGUGCUAAACCAUGCAAGUCGGAACGACUUUUAUGCAGUUAUUCUGUUUACCUAGCCUGUCGGCAGAACUGACUUUGCUUUGCGCUAAGCGAGUUUGCUCCUCGAUUCUCGUCAGAGACGGAAGGGACUGCUAGCAAACGCUUAGCGAAGUCUGUUUUGCUGAUAUAAGCUAGGAACUAAAAUUUAAUAUCAUAUUGUGUUAGUGGCGGACGGGUGAGUAAUACAUUGGCAUCUACCUCGAAAUGGGGAAUAACUGCCCGAAAGGGUGGCUAAUACCGCAUAGUCCCGCAAGGGUAAAGCAGCAAUGCGUUUCGAGAAGAGCCUGUGUCCUAUCAGCUAGUUGGUGAGGUAAUGGCUUACCAAGGCGAUGACGGGUAGCUGGAUCGAGAGGUUGACCAGCCACACUGGGACUGAGACACGGCCCAGACUCCUACGGGAGGCAGCAGUUAGGAAUAUUGCGCAAUGGGUGAAAGCCUGACGCAGCGACGCCGCGUGAACGAUGAAGGCCUUCGGGUUGUAAAGUCCUUUUAACUAGGAAGAUUAUGACUGU
RNAcentral lists this ribosomal RNA (563 nucleotides) under uncultured Aminicenantes bacterium. Its description in RNAcentral is "bacterial SSU rRNA". It matches the Rfam family "Bacterial small subunit ribosomal RNA", at positions 30 to 458 of the family's 1533-position model. The record is from RNAcentral. Lineage: Bacteria; Candidatus Aminicenantota.